GACGAACGCUGGCGGCGUGCUUAACACAUGCAAGUCGAACGAAGAGCGAUGGAAGCUUGCUUCUAUCAAUCUUAGUGGCGAACGGGUGAGUAACGCGUAAUCAACCUGCCCUUCAGAGGGGGACAACAGUUGGAAACGACUGCUAAUACCGCAUACGAUCUAAUCUCGGCAUCGAGGAUAGAUGAAAGGUGGCCUCUACAUGUAAGCUAUCACUGAAGGAGGGGAUUGCGUCUGAUUAGCUAGUUGGAGGGGUAACGGCCCACCAAGGCGAUGAUCAGUAGCCGGUCUGAGAGGAUGAACGGCCACAUUGGGACUGAGACACGGCCCAGACUCCUACGGGAGGCAGCAGUGGGGAAUCUUCCGCAAUGGACGAAAGUCUGACGGAGCAACGCCGCGUGAGUGAUGACGGCCUUCGGGUUGUAAAGCUCUGUUAAUCGGGACGAAAGGCCUUCCUGCGAAUAGUGAGAAGGAUUGACGGUACCGGAAGAGAAAGCCACGGCUAACUACGUG
This 510-nucleotide ribosomal RNA is filed under the name uncultured bacterium. RNAcentral's name for it is "partial 16S ribosomal RNA". It matches the Rfam family "Bacterial small subunit ribosomal RNA", at positions 28 to 507 of the family's 1533-position model. The record is from RNAcentral.